RNAcentral lists this ribosomal RNA (796 nucleotides) under uncultured Achromobacter sp. Its description in RNAcentral is "bacterial SSU rRNA". It matches the Rfam family "Bacterial small subunit ribosomal RNA", at positions 9 to 800 of the family's 1533-position model. The record is from RNAcentral. Lineage: Bacteria; Pseudomonadati; Pseudomonadota; Betaproteobacteria; Burkholderiales; Alcaligenaceae.
GAGUUUGAUCCUGGCUCAGAUUGAACGCUAGCGGGAUGCCUUACACAUGCAAGUCGAACGGCAGCACGGACUUCGGUCUGGUGGCGAGUGGCGAACGGGUGAGUAAUGUAUCGGAACGUGCCCAGUAGCGGGGGAUAACUACGCGAAAGCGUAGCUAAUACCGCAUACGCUCUACGGGGGAAAGCAGGGGAUCGUAAGACCUUGCACUAUUGGAGCGGCCGAUAUCGGAUUAGCUAGUUGGUGGGGUAACGGCUCACCAAGGCGACGAUCCGUAGCUGGUUUGAGAGGACGACCAGCCACACUGGGACUGAGACACGGCCCAGAUUCCUACGGGAGGCAGCAGUGGGGAAUUUUGGACAAUGGGGGAAACCCUGAUCCAGCCAUCCCGCGUGUGCGAUGAAGGCCCUCGGGUUGUAAAGCACUUUUGGCAGGAAAGAAACGUCAUGGGUUAAUACCCCGUGAAACUGACGGUACCUGCAGAAUAAGCACCGGCUAACUACGUGCCAGCAGCCGCGGUAAUACGUAGGGUGCAAGCGUUAAUCGGAAUUACUGGGCGUAAAGCGUGCGCAGGCGGUUCGGAAAGAAAGAUGUGAAAUCCCAGAGCUUAACUUUGGAACUGCAUUUUUAACUACCGGGCUAGAGUGUGUCAGAGGGAGGUGGAAUUCCGCGUGUAGCAGUGAAAUGCGUAGAUAUGCGGAGGAACACCGAUGGCGAAGGCAGCCUCCUGGGAUGACACUGACGCUCAUGCACGAAAGCGUGGGGAGCAAACAGGAUUAGAUACCCUGGUAGUCCACGC